Molecule: non-coding RNA, 2614 nt
Organism: Sus scrofa (pig)
Lineage: Eukaryota; Metazoa; Chordata; Mammalia; Artiodactyla; Suidae
Source: RefSeq, a predicted model, not a curated record
AAAAUCCUGUUAAAUAACUUGUCAGGUUUCAGCUGGAACAAAUGAUAAGCAUUCCUGGCUGUACCUCACCCCUUGGAUACAGAGGAGUCUUCAGAGAAGAUAUAAAAACUACCACCCUCUCAAGACCCAGGGCCUUUCCCGAAGAUAAGCCAAAUGAAAGACUCAUUUCCUCUGAGAACCGGCAACAGUCACAGGACCUGAGCUGUAUGCAAAUGAAGCGUGACCCUUCUUCUGUCCAGCCAUAACCUCAUCAGUUUUGAGGGCUCCACUCUCACGUUGGGCAGGCAAAAUUCUCAGGACACAAAAGACAAACAAGAAGGCAAUAGUUGCCUCUUUUGGGAGAGGAAAGAUCCAUAACUCCUGGGUCUGAAUUGGGGAAGAAUGGGGCAAUGUAAAACUUCAUUUUACCCUCGUAAUGGAGCAGUCCAGAUGGGGAUCCAAGAGAACUGACUCUGGAUUUCUCCUGUGGUUGGAAUGGCUAAAGUAACGUGAAAUGUGAUACUGGCUCUUGAUCUUGGCAAUUACAUGGACAUUGGAUGCUAGAAUUUUUAUAUAAAGGACCACUUUUAGUAUUUUCUCAGCCUAUGAUUUUCCAGAGUGACCAGCAAGAUUAUAGUUCAUCCAAAUGAAAGAAGACCUGCGCUUUCAAGUGUUCAUGGGUCCUCAGAUAGACCCUUGUCUGAAAAAUACAUAUUUUUCAUUGAUCGACUGAUUCAUUCAUUCAUGCAUGCCUUCUCUUAUGUGAAAGGGGAAUCCUAUUAUGGUAAGCUUUCCUUUAUCUAAAUUUGAGAGCCCUGGGCUUCUUCAGGAAUCUCACAUUUAUGUCAAUUAAGACUAAGUUUAGUGAUAUGUAACAGAAAACACUAAAACAGCAGUAGCUUAUGAACACUCAAGAAAAUAGAUUAAUUUUCUCUCAGGUAAAAAACACAAAAACAAAAAUAAAAACCCAACUGAUAAACAAAACCUGAAAGUAGUUAGUCUAGGAUGGUCAUGAUAGCUAAUUCAAUAGUUGUUACAAACCCCCAAUUUCCUUCUAUAUUUAUGCUCUGCCAGCUUUAAAGUAAAGCAUUUAUAACUAAGACUACCUAAUUACAAAUGAGUGAUGCAUCCUUUGGUUCCCUACUCCUGGCAGAAGAAAAUGAAAGAAAGAGGAAAAUAUGCUCCUAACAGCACUCUCCUAUGAAGAAAUUUAAGAGGUUACCCACUUGUACCUAAACUUGUACAUCACUGGGCAGAAUUUAUGUUUCCAUCAUUAUUUCUCUCUGGAAGUAUGGCUGGAAAUUUAAUCAUUAGCUAUACAUAUGGCCACUGAAAUAAAAUUAAGAUUCAAUAAUUAAGAUUAAUGGGAAAUGUAUAUUAAAUAGGCAAAGUAUUUUGUGCUACCUGAAGCCAAACUCUUUUUUUCUCUUGUUCACUGCGUACAUUGACCCUAAAACUUGAAAUCAAGGGUAUUGCCAAAGAAAACAAAAGACACUACCCUCCAAGGACCAAAAUAGCAUCAACUUUACCUUAAAACUAGUAAUAAAAGGUCCCAUCAUGUUUUAAAACCUUCCAUUACUUGUAAACCUGGUUGUAUACUCAAAAAGUUUUUUGUAAUAUUUUAACAAGUGCUUUGUUGUAAGACAUUAUCUCAGAAUAUAGCAGUCUUCCACUUAAAGUGAAUGAUGUGAUUCUAAAAACCCGUGUGAAAAUAUUUAAGGGAAAAAUACCUAUUCAUCAUCACUUUAAAUGGGAAAAAUCAUAAGGCAUUAAACUAAAUCAAAACUCUCAAUCAAUUUCCUAAAUCAUUACUAAAUGCAGUAAAAUGCUUACUUAUAAGUUAUAAAAUACCAUGUUUAGAUGUAAAAAUGCUUAAAAACUUUGCUUCCUAAUCAUCAAUUAAUGCGAUUGUUAAAUUUAUUUUGUAUGCAGUAAAAUGUACAGUUUGCAUGUCGCACCAUAAACAUUUUGUUUAUGAUAUGGAAAGGCCAAUAACACAUAACAAUAAAUACAUUUGUGAGAAAAACUGCAUGUAAAAAUUUACAAUAAAAUGGCAAUUUCCUGUAAUAAACUGUAACUCACCAGUUGAAAUGGAAAUUUGAUUUGAAGAAAGCUGAGAAUUGAGGAGUGGAGGAGGUUCGAACAGUCAUUAAUUUUCUCUGUUUACAGAAGUUGAUGGUACAGACAUGUCAGGUGAAAAGGCAGCAAAUUCAGGUAAACUAUCCAACUCAGAAGAACCAAUACAGAUUCUCUGAUGUUCUUGUGCUUUUGUAAGAACUUGUGAACAGAAAAGUUUCAAGGGAGAUGUCCAAAGACUUGGAAUGAAAAAAGUGUAAAUGGACCUUUGUUUGCAGUUCUAAUUGAAACAUCAAAAAAUUUUUCUGUAAUGUCAAUUUAAAGAAAGUUUUCCCAUUCUAUUGCCAUAUUAUUAAAGAAAGAUAUUUACUAUUGCAUCAACAUAACUGAUUCACUAUAAAUGCCAACAACAUCUGAGAUUCAAAUCCCCUUUUGAACCAUCAGUGUGCUUUUCAAAAUGCCUAUAUAGGAUUAUUAUGACAUUCUACUCAUUGUUUCUGGAAUGUAAUUCAAAGUUUAUUUUUGCGGGGGAGGGAGGAGUUACUGCACCUGCAGCAUA